This 253-nucleotide ribosomal RNA is filed under the name uncultured bacterium. RNAcentral's name for it is "partial 16S ribosomal RNA". It matches the Rfam family "Bacterial small subunit ribosomal RNA", at positions 524 to 776 of the family's 1533-position model. The record is from RNAcentral.
UACGUAGGUGACAAGCGUUGUCCGGAUUUACUGGGCGUAAAGAGCGCGCAGGCGGUCGUUCAAGUCGAGUGUGAAAGCCCCCGGCUCAACUGGGGAGGGUCACUCGAUACUGAUCGACUCGAAGGCAGGAGAGGGAAGUGGAAUUCCCGGUGUAGUGGUGAAAUGCGUAGAUAUCGGGAGGAACACCAGUGGCGAAGGCAGCUCGCUGGGACGGUACUGACGCUGAGGCGCGAAAGCGUGGGGAGCAAACAGG